This is a long non-coding RNA of Brassica rapa (field mustard), 748 nucleotides long. RefSeq lists it as uncharacterized. The record is from RefSeq and is a predicted model, not a curated record. Lineage: Eukaryota; Viridiplantae; Streptophyta; Magnoliopsida; Brassicales; Brassicaceae.
AGAAUGUGGUUAGAAAUUUUAAAACAAUACUAAAGAUUAUAUGCUUAGUAUAUAAAACAUUUAUCAAAAACUAAAUAUUUUCGUAGGGGUUAACACAUAGAUUUUGACAAAAUUUCAAAAAAUAUGAAAAUAUUGUUUUAAUGCAUAGUCGCAUCCUGCACUAACAUAUGAUGAUGUUCAAAGAGGUUUGUAGCCUUUGUUGUCCCCGUUUUUCAGGAAAAUAGUGAUUUUAUAGUGGUUAUUUCAUCGAUUUAGGGAAUAUUAUGAAGUUUGACUAAAUUAAUUGAUAAAAGAAUUAUAACGAUUCCCAUUUACCAUGAAAAAAACUUAAAAUACCUUAAUACAAAUGUAGAAUGUAGUUAGAAAUUUUAAAACAAUACUUAAGAUUAUAUGCGUAGUAUAUAAAAUAUUUAGCAAAAACUCAAUAUUUCCGUAGGGGGUAACACAUUGAUUUUGACAAAAUUUAAAAAAAUAUAAAAAUAUUGUUUUAAUGCAUAGUUGCAUCCUGCACUAACAUAUGAUGAUGUUCAAAGAGGUUUGAAGUCUUUGUUGUCCCCGUUUUAAAGGAAAAUAGUGAUUUUAUAGUGGUUAUUCCAUCGAUUUAGGGAAUAUUAUGAAGUUUGACUAAAUUAAUUGAUAAAAGAAUUAUAACGAUUCCCAUAUACCAUGAAAAAACUUAAAAUACCUUAAUAUAAAUGUAGAAUGUGGUUAGAAAUUUUAAAACAACACUAAAGAUUAUAUGCGUAGA